CCAUAAUGUAGUCGUUUAAAGAUUCUCGUUUAGGGGAGAUUUUCUCCCAAUAGUUUUUAAUGUUUUUUAUAUUAGUUUUCAAUAUGUAGGUCACUUGACCAAAUUACAAUAAUAAUAUGUUUUUAGUAUGUUUUUCUUUUUCGUCUGAUUUAUCGUCUCAAUAGUUUGCAACUAAUAGCUUCCGCAUGACGCUCUCUCGAUUUCGAACCCAACAAGUGGUAUCAGAACCCAUGGUUCAAUGGUUCGAUGGUUCAAAUUGAGGACAUGUUGAGAUCAAAGUUGCAACCAACCUGAUGAUAAUGAAGAUAUAUGUUUAAGAUACUACAUGUGGAUAAAAAAUUUCAAACAAAUUUUCAAUAAUCCUGCUGCUUCAUCAUUAAAACAAAAUCAACUUUUAACCCAUGUUUAUGGGCUUCAACUUUCAACCCCUGCUUACUUUUAUGCUAGGGAUCCUUUCAACUCGUGCAUUUAUUUUUAACGCAUGAGCUCCACUCUUAACCUGUGCUCACUUUCAAUGCACAAGACUCCACUUUCAAUCCUAUUUACUUAUAACACAGGGCUCCAAUAAUAUCAACCCGUGCUUUUAAUUUUAAUGCAUAAGGCUCAAUUUUAACUCAUAUCAACUUUUAAUCAUGGUAAGCAGCAGUGAUUUAUGAAGAUCGUGUGAAGAAGGAGGAUCAAGAAUAUGUCGUCAAGAAAAUCAAGUCAAAAAGGGGAGAUUUGUUAGAGUUUUUUCCCUGAUUUUCUUACAAAAAUUAAGUUUUAUUUUUCUUAAAAGGAAAAUAAAAGUAGUACCAUAAUUACUUUUAUUUUUCUAAAAGGAAAAUAUAAAAUUUUUUCAUAUUUGGCAAACCUCUUUCUUGGAGGAAAAGAUUUUGAAUCUAUAAAUAGAAAUCCCUCUUCUCAUGCAACAACACAGUAACAUCCAUAAUGUAGUCGUUUAAAGAG
This 948-nucleotide long non-coding RNA is filed under the name Capsicum annuum. RNAcentral's name for it is "long non-coding RNA (CANN_LNC007889)". Lineage: Eukaryota; Viridiplantae; Streptophyta; Magnoliopsida; Solanales; Solanaceae. The record is from RNAcentral.